UUUUUACUUGUAAGAUGAGACUUUCGAAACAAAACAAACUCUGCCAACUAAUUCACACAAUUGGCCAAAUGACUUUAAUUUCCUGCAGACAAGUCUUUUUUUAUAGGUAAUGAGUUGAUCCUGCAGACAAGUCUGCUCUUCCGAUGGCAAUCACAGUACAUGAAGAUUAGUCACUCCUACUCGCGAUAUUUUUCCCCCUAUAAAAGAGUCUGUGGAAAUAGAAACUAGGGCCUAAAGAAACAAAAAUGUAACAUUAGUUGCAAGAAGCCUUUAACAUAGGAGUCCAGCAGCCAUUCACCUAAAAAAAAUGACAAUUAUUUCUACAUAGAAUUUCAGAGGAAUGUAGAAGCCUCCAACAAAUCAAGAAUAUCUACAUCUACAGCCAUGGUCUCUACAAUAUCCUUAAAAGCUUCUUCCUGACUGACUGACUUCCUUUGCCAUGGGCAAAUUAGCUAUAGAUCUACGCCAAGCUAUCACUUCUGAGGCCUUGGCCAAGUUAUGCAGUUCUGGAUCGCGACCUUGAAUGUGCAUACAGCAAACAGCUCCUUGGCCAAAAACAACGUCACAACCACAUCAUUGACCUGAUAUCCACAUCCUUAGUAGGUACAAAGGACUCUUUAUACAUUUUUGUCAUCUCAUUCCAGGUAGAGUUUCAGUGUGAGGAUCCUCAGAUGGCAUCAUGUUUAAAUCAGGUAGCAGGAAGGAUCUGUCAUGGUUUGAAACUGCCUCUUGUGUUUCACAGGAAUCCAACUUGAUAUCAUCAUCACAUUGAACAUGUUUAGGCAACAUUGAACUAAUGUGGUUGGGAGAAGAGGGUUCUCCCUUGUAGGGCCGGUUGCAAAUUUCUUUCUCCAGUACAUCAGACGCUAAACUUGAGUUAUUUGCAUAUUGCAAUUUCAAAUCAAACUUUAUUCUCUUUAAAUUCUCAUUUCUUGCUACCUGUUCCUCAAAUGUGGAAUUUAAAGUUGUUAUUUCCUUUUUGAGAUGCAUCCUUUCUUUCAACAGAAAACUCUCUUCUUCUUUAAGUUCAGCAAACGUCUUCUUUCUUCUUGACCUCUUUGUGGAGGUGCUAGCGGUUUCAGCAGUAGCAGUACCCUUGGAUCUGGCGCCAGGAGGAGAGCGGGUGACAUGAGGGCUGGUCUCUUCGAAGCCGUCAACGGUGGCUGAGGGGGAGGCAGCGCCGCCACCACCGCUCCAUGAAAGCGGCGUGGUUGGACUACAUCUAGCAGAAGAAUCUCCUUCUUUCCUCUUACAAACGACGUCACAUCGCACGGAUGCCGCUGUAGCUGGCUUGGACCUCGGAAGUCGUAACCCCCACCUAAUUGGAAUCACCGCCUGAGGUCUCGCUGGUGCCGCUGCAUGCGCUUGCUUGAGACGCAACAGCAGCUCCACAACCACUCUAUCAUCCGUCAUCGCGGCCCUUAUCCACUCGUCCUUCACCAUCGUGACCAAGCUAUCGUUGCCGAAAGAGACGCCACAGAUAUCUGUGUGCAGACACAGUGACUCUGUAGAUAUAUGAGAGAGAGAGAGAGAGA
This 1535-nucleotide unclassified non-coding RNA is filed under the name Hevea brasiliensis (rubber tree). Lineage: Eukaryota; Viridiplantae; Streptophyta; Magnoliopsida; Malpighiales; Euphorbiaceae. The record is from RNAcentral.